This 265-nucleotide ribosomal RNA is filed under the name uncultured archaeon. RNAcentral's name for it is "partial 16S ribosomal RNA". It matches the Rfam family "Archaeal small subunit ribosomal RNA", at positions 718 to 982 of the family's 1478-position model. The record is from RNAcentral.
AGUCACUGACAUUAGAUACCCCCGUAGUCCCAGCCGUAAACAAUGUGCGUUAGGUGUGUCGGUAACCACGUGUUACUGAUGCGCCGAAGAGAAAUCGUUAAACUCGCUGCCUGGGGAGUACGGUCGCAAGGCUGAAACUUAAAGGAAUUGGCGGGGGAGCACCGCAACGGGAGGAGCGUGCGGCUCAAUUGGAUUCAACGCCGAAAAACUCACCAGGAGCGACGGAUAUAUGAAGGUCAAGCUGAUGACUUUACCUGAUUUUCCG